This is a long non-coding RNA of Lepus europaeus (European hare), 470 nucleotides long. RefSeq lists it as uncharacterized. The record is from RefSeq and is a predicted model, not a curated record. The transcript has 3 exons. Lineage: Eukaryota; Metazoa; Chordata; Mammalia; Lagomorpha; Leporidae.
CCUGCUUCAGGGACUUUUGGUCUUUCUUGAGGCACUUGCUGAAUUACAGAGCCACACUGGUGCCACAGUGUGCCAAGCACACGAAGCACAUGUUGGGGACGCACAGGGCCUGGUGGAAGCGGCAAAGAAAUGUAAAAUGUGUUUUGUAACAGGAAUGGAUGCAUUGCAUAAAGAGAGAAAAGAAGAAAAAAAACCCCGCCAAUAUCUUCUCCCUCCCACACUCAAUAUGUGUCCACAAUUUUACCAGGUGAGAAGACAUGAUGUUGAUCACCACUAGGUGGUGCUUCGGACACAGUAAAGGACCCUCCAGAGGUUAGUCUACUAAAGUCUUCUACUUCAACUUGUGCCAAAUCAUCUUUGACUUCAGGUCUGGGUGAGUUCAGGAUGAUUUUACCUACCACAAAAAGGAAAUAUGUAACUUUUCAUAUUGCCAUGUCGAUUCUUAGUUUUGAAGUUGAUCUUUCAGCCAU